RNAcentral lists this ribosomal RNA (273 nucleotides) under uncultured prokaryote. Its description in RNAcentral is "partial 16S ribosomal RNA". It matches the Rfam family "Bacterial small subunit ribosomal RNA", at positions 524 to 796 of the family's 1533-position model. The record is from RNAcentral.
UACGGAGGGAGCUAGCGUUGUUCGGAAUUACUGGGCGUAAAGCGUGCGUAGGCGGCUAUUCAAGUCAGAGGUGAAAGCCUGGAGCUCAACUCCAGAACUGCCUUUGAAACUAGAUAGCUAGAAUCUUGGAGAGGUGAGUGGAAUUCCGAGUGUAGAGGUGAAAUUCGUAGAUAUUCGGAAGAACACCAGUGGCGAAGGCGACUCACUGGACAAGUAUUGACGCUGAGGUACGAAAGCGUGGGGAGCAAACAGGAUUAGAAACCCUAGUAGUCC